AAUGGAAUUGCUGAGUCAUAUGGUAAUUCUAACUUAAAUUUUUAAGAAACUGUCCAAUUGUUUUCCACAGUGGCUACUACAUUUUACAUUCCUACUAGCAAU
RNAcentral lists this microRNA precursor (102 nucleotides) under Marmota monax (woodchuck). The record is from RNAcentral. Lineage: Eukaryota; Metazoa; Chordata; Mammalia; Rodentia; Sciuridae.